UAGGGAAUCUUCGGCAAUGGGGGGAACCCUGACCGAGCAACGCCGCGUGAGUGAAGAAGGUUUUCGGAUCGUAAAGCUCUGUUGUUAAGGAAGAACGAGUGUGAGAAUGGAAAGUUCAUACUGUGACGGUACUUAACCAGAAAGGGACGGCUAACUACGUGCCAGCAGCCGCGGUAAUACGUAGGUCCCGAGCGUUGUCCGGAUUUAUUGGGCGUAAAGCGAGCGCAGGCGGUUAGAUAAGUCUGAAGUUAAAGGCAGUGGCUCAACCAUUGUAGGCUUUGGAAACUGUUUAACUUGAGUGCAGAAGGGGAGAGUGGAAUUCCAUGUGUAGCGGUGAAAUGCGUAGAUAUAUGGAGGAACACCGGUGGCGAAAGCGGCUAUCUGGUCUGUAACUGACGCUGAGGAUCGAAAGCGUGGGGAGCGAACAGG
RNAcentral lists this ribosomal RNA (429 nucleotides) under Bacteroidota bacterium. RNAcentral's name for it is "Bacteroidetes bacterium partial 16S ribosomal RNA". It matches the Rfam family "Bacterial small subunit ribosomal RNA", at positions 355 to 776 of the family's 1533-position model. Lineage: Bacteria; Pseudomonadati; Bacteroidota. The record is from RNAcentral.